Long non-coding RNA from Mirounga angustirostris (Northern elephant seal), 721 nucleotides. RefSeq lists it as uncharacterized. The transcript is spliced from 4 exons. NCBI's taxonomy places the organism in Eukaryota, Metazoa, Chordata, Mammalia, Carnivora, Phocidae. The record is from RefSeq and is a predicted model, not a curated record.
GGCUCCACGUCCAUCGUGGAGUCCAACGUGGGGCUAGAACUCAUGACCCUGAGAUCAACACCUGAGCCGUCAUCAAGACCCAGGUGCCCCUUGUCUGAUUGAAUUCUCACUACUGUUCUAUGAGCUGCUUCUGUGAACUAUUCCAGUGGUUUGAAGAAUACAACAUUCAAAAUCACAUAGACUGUGUUCAGAUUCAAGCUCAACAAAAAAUUGCACAGCUCUGUGACCUUAGCACUCUAGGUGUUUACAUGUCUGCGGGACUGCUAUCAACCUUCAGAUCCCAUUUUUGCAACCCACGGCUCAGAUGAAGGAAGUAACCCACACCGUCCACACCACCACGCUUCACCUUUGUUGCCACCUUACGCCCGCACUCCAGACAGCUUGUCCAUUGAGAAUUCUCUCAGCUGCAUCAGUACAUACAGUUCCUGAUACUCUGCUCCUGGGAAGAUGGAUUGACUUCUCUGGUUGAUAAGUGUGGGACAGAAUACGAGGUGCGGCCCUUUGCCCCCUGGGAGUGACAGCCGACAGAACGCAGGCGCUCUGUCCUGCUCUGCCAUCAUGUCCGUCUUCCUCAGGCUGCCUUGGCCCUGCCAAUGGAUGCACUGAUCACUGCUUCUUUCUGCCUGCUCCGGGGGUUCAACAUUAGCUGGUCCACUGGGUUGAAGAACCCAGAGCAGCAUCUAACAACUGCCUCAAUAGGUAAUAAAGCUGGUGUGUUGGC